RNAcentral lists this ribosomal RNA (534 nucleotides) under Staphylococcus aureus. Its description in RNAcentral is "partial 23S ribosomal RNA". It matches the Rfam family "Bacterial large subunit ribosomal RNA", at positions 2288 to 2821 of the family's 2925-position model. Lineage: Bacteria; Bacillati; Bacillota; Bacilli; Caryophanales; Staphylococcaceae. The record is from RNAcentral.
UCCUAAAAGGUAACGGAGGCGCUCAAAGGUUCCCUCAGAAUGGUUGGAAAUCAUUCAUAGAGUGUAAAGGCAUAAGGGAGCUUGACUGCGAGACCUACAAGUCGAGCAGGGUCGAAAGACGGACUUAGUGAUCCGGUGGUUCCGCAUGGAAGGGCCAUCGCUCAACGGAUAAAAGCUACCCCGGGGAUAACAGGCUUAUCUCCCCCAAGAGUUCACAUCGACGGGGAGGUUUGGCACCUCGAUGUCGGCUCAUCGCAUCCUGGGGCUGUAGUCGGUCCCAAGGGUUGGGCUGUUCGCCCAUUAAAGCGGUACGCGAGCUGGGUUCAGAACGUCGUGAGACAGUUCGGUCCCUAUCCGUCGUGGGCGUAGGAAAUUUGAGAGGAGCUGUCCUUAGUACGAGAGGACCGGGAUGGACAUACCUCUGGUGUACCAGUUGUCGUGCCAACGGCAUAGCUGGGUAGCUAUGUGUGGACGGGAUAAGUGCUGAAAGCAUCUAAGCAUGAAGCCCCCCUCAAGAUGAGAUUUCCCAACUUC